RNAcentral lists this ribosomal RNA (467 nucleotides) under uncultured bacterium. Its description in RNAcentral is "partial 16S ribosomal RNA". It matches the Rfam family "Bacterial small subunit ribosomal RNA", at positions 28 to 507 of the family's 1533-position model. The record is from RNAcentral.
GACGAACGCUGGCGGCGUGCUUAACACAUGCAAGUCGAACGGAAAGGCCCUGCUUUUGUGGGGUGCUCGAGUGGCGAACGGGGGAGUAACACGUGAGUAAACUGCCCUUGACUUUGGGAUAACUUCAGGAAACUGGGGCUAAUACCGGAUAGGAGCUCCUGCUGCAUGGGGGUGGUUGGAAAGUUUCGGCGGUUGGGGCUGGACUUGCGGUUUAUCAGCUGGUUGGUGGGGUAGUGGAUGACCAAGGCUUUGACGGGUAGCCGGCCUGAGAGGGUGACCGGCCACAUUGGACUGAGAUACGGCCCAGACUCCUACGGGAGGCAGCAGUGGGGAAUAUUGCACAAUGGGCGGAAGCCUGAUGCAGCAACGCCGCGUGCGGGAUGACGGCCUUCGGGUUGUAAACCGCUUUCGCCUGUGACGAAGCGUGAGUGACGGUAAUGGGUAAAGAAGCACCGGCUAACUACGUG